Molecule: ribosomal RNA, 460 nt
Filed under: uncultured bacterium
Lineage: Bacteria
Description: partial 16S ribosomal RNA
Rfam family: Bacterial small subunit ribosomal RNA
Source: RNAcentral
CCUACGGGUGGCAUCAGUGAUGAAUAUUGGUCAAUGGCCGGAAGGCUGAACCAGCCAAGUCGCGUGAGGGAAUAAGGCCCUAUGGGUCGUAAACCUCUUUUGUCAGGGAGCAAAGGCGUCCACUUGUGGACGAGAGUAGAGUACCUGAAGCAAAAGCAUCGGCUAACUCCGUGCCAGCAGCCGCGGUAAUACGGAGGAUGCGAGCGUUAUCCGGAUUUAUUGGGUUUAAAGGGGGCGUAGUCGGAGUGUCGAGUCAGCGGGAACAUUUCGGGGCUCAACCCCGUCGUGCCGUUGAAACUGACGCCAUUGAGGGAGUGAGAAGUAAGCGGAAGGAGUGGUGUAGCGGGGAAAUGCAUAGAUAUUAGGAGGAACACCAGUGGCGAAGGCGGCUUACUGGACUGUAACUGACGUUGAGGCUCGAAAGCGUGGGGAGCAAACAGGAUUAGAUACCCGGGUAGUC